This 68-nucleotide transfer RNA is filed under the name Marmota monax (woodchuck). RNAcentral describes it as "tRNA.Ser". Lineage: Eukaryota; Metazoa; Chordata; Mammalia; Rodentia; Sciuridae. The record is from RNAcentral.
GGUUGUGGCUCACUGGUAGAGCACUUGCCUAGAAAUGUGUGAGGCACUGGGUUCGAUCCUCAGCACCA